UACGAAGGGGGCUAGCGUUGUUCGGAAUUAUUGGGCGUAAAGGGCGCGUAGGCGGUGCGGUAAGUCACCUGUGAAAUCCCCAGGCUCAACUUGGGAACUGCAUCCGAUACUGGAUGGCUUGAAUCCGGGAGAGGGAUGCAGAAUUCCAGGUGUAGCGGUGAAAUGCGUAGAUAUCUGGAGGAAUACCGGUGGCGAAGGCGGCAUCCUGGACCGGCAUUGACGCUGAGGAGCGAAAGCGUGGGGGAGCGAACAGG
This 254-nucleotide ribosomal RNA is filed under the name uncultured bacterium. Its description in RNAcentral is "partial 16S ribosomal RNA". It matches the Rfam family "Bacterial small subunit ribosomal RNA", at positions 524 to 776 of the family's 1533-position model. The record is from RNAcentral.